RNAcentral lists this ribosomal RNA (253 nucleotides) under uncultured bacterium. RNAcentral's name for it is "partial 16S ribosomal RNA". It matches the Rfam family "Bacterial small subunit ribosomal RNA", at positions 524 to 776 of the family's 1533-position model. The record is from RNAcentral.
UACGUAGGUGGCAAGCGUUGUCCGGAAUUACUGGGCGUAAAGCGCGCGUAGGCGGCUUUGCAAGUCGAGUGUGAAAUCCCCAGGCUUAACCUGGGAACUGCAUUCGAGACUGCAUGGCUAGAGUAUGGGAGAGGGAAGUGGAAUUUCAGGUGUAGCGGUGAAAUGCGUAGAUAUCUGAAGGAACAUCAGUGGCGAAAGCGACUUCCUGGACCAAUACUGACGCUCAUGUGCGAAAGCGUGGGGAGCAAACAGG